CGCCGAUAUUCCGAAAAAGUGUCUGCCCUAUCAACCUGAUGGUAGUCUAUUAGUCUACCAUGGUUAUUACGGGUAACGGAGAAUAAGGGUUCGACUCCGGAGAGGGAGCCUUAGAAACGGCUACCACAUCCAAGGAAGGCAGCAGGCGCGAAACUUAUCCAAUCUUGAAUAGAUGAGAUAGUGACUAAAAAUAAAAAGACCAUUCCUAUGGAACGGUCAUUUCAAUGAGUUGAUCAUAAACGUUUUUUCGAGUAUCAAGUGGAGGGCAAGUCUGGUGCCAGCAGCCGCGGUAAUUCCAGCUCCACUAGUGUAAAUCGUCAUUGCUGCGGUUAAAAAGCUCGUAGUUGGAUCUGAGUCGCAUGCAAUGAUUCGCCUUUGGCGUUAAUCAUUGUUGUGACUAUUUGCUGGUUUUCUAUUGAAAUUUCGAUUUCUUUAGUGGCUAGCGAGUUUACUUUGAAUAAAUUAGAGUGCUCAGAACAAGCGUUUGCUUGAAUGGUCGAUCAUGGAAUAAUAAAAGAGGACUUCGGUUCUAUUUAUUGGUUCAGGAACUGAAAUAAUGGUUAAGAGGGACAAUUCGGGGGCAUUCGUAUCCCUGCGCGAGAGGUGAAAUUCGUGGACCGCAGGGGGACGCCCUAAAGCGAAAGCAUUUGCCAAGAAUGUCUUCAUUAAUCAAGAACGAAAGUCAGAGGUUCGAAGGCGAUUAGAUACCGCCCUAGUUCUGACCGUAAACUAUGCCAUCUAGCGAUCCGAUGGGGUAUUGUUGCCUUGUCGAGGAGCUUCCCGGAAACGAAAGUCUUUCGGUUCCUGGGGUAGUAUGG
Molecule: ribosomal RNA, 818 nt
Filed under: Muellerius capillaris
Lineage: Eukaryota; Metazoa; Nematoda; Chromadorea; Rhabditida; Metastrongylidae
Description: SSU rRNA
Rfam family: Eukaryotic small subunit ribosomal RNA
Source: RNAcentral